RNAcentral lists this ribosomal RNA (301 nucleotides) under uncultured bacterium. RNAcentral describes it as "partial 16S ribosomal RNA". It matches the Rfam family "Bacterial small subunit ribosomal RNA", at positions 509 to 807 of the family's 1533-position model. The record is from RNAcentral.
CAGUAGCCGCGGGAAUACAGAGGGUGCGAGCGUUAAUCGGAUUUACUGGGCGUAAAGCGUGCGUAGGCGGCUUCUUAAGUCGGAUGUGAAAUCCCUGAGCUUAACUUAGGAAUUGCAUUCGAUACUGGGAAGCUAGAGUAUGGGAGAGGAUGGUAGAAUUCCAGGUGUAGCGGUGAAAUGCGUAGAGAUCUGGAGGAAUACCGAUGGCGAAGGCAGCCAUCUGGCCUAAUACUGACGCUGAGGUACGAAAGCAUGGGGAGCAAACAGGAUUAGAUACGCCAGUAGUCCCUGUCUCUUAUAC